UUAAGUGAAUAAGGGCGCACGGUGGAUGCCUUGGCACUAGGAGCCGAUGAAGGACGGGACUAACACCGAUAUGCUUUGGGGAGCUGUAAGUAAGCUAUGAUCCAGAGAUUUCCGAAUGGGGGAACCCAAUAUCUUUUAUAGGAUAUUACUUUUCAGUGAAUACAUAGCUGAUUAGAGGUAGACGCAGAGAACUGAAACAUCUUAGUACCUGCAGGAAGAGAAAGAAAAUUCGAUUCCCUGAGUAGCGGCGAGCGAAACGGGAAGAGCCCAAACCAACAAGCUUGCUUGUUGGGGUUGUAGGACUCCAAUAUGGUAGUCUGUUAGUAUAGUUGAAGGAUUUGGAAAAUUCCGCUAAAGAGGGUGAAAGCCCCGUAGACGAAAUGCUAACAACACCUAGGAGGAUCCUGAGUACGGCGGAACACGAGAAAUUCCGUCGGAAUCCGCGGGGACCAUCCCGCAAGGCUAAAUACUCCCUAGUGACCGAUAGUGAACCAGUACCGUGAGGGAAAGGUGAAAAGCACCCCGGAAGGGGAGUGAAAUAGAUCCUGAAACCGUGUGCCUACAACAAGUCAAAGCUCGUUAAUGAGUGAUGGCGUGCCUUUUGUAGAAUGAACCGGCGAGUUACGAUUGCAUGCGAGGUUAAGUCGAAGAGACGGAGCCGCAGCGAAAGCGAGUCUGAAUAGGGCGAAUGAGUAUGUAGUCGUAGACCCGAAACCAUGUGAUCUACCCAUGUCCAGGUUGAAGGUGCGGUAAAACGCACUGGAGGACCGAACCCACGUACGUUGAAAAGUGCGGGGAUGAGGUGUGGGUAGCGGAGAAAUUCCAAACGAACUUGGAGAUAGCUGGUUCUCUCCGAAAUAGCUUUAGGGCUAGCCUCGGAAUUGAGAAUGAUGGAGGUAGAGCACUGUUUGGACUAGGGGCCCAUCUCGGGUUACCGAAUUCAGAUAAACUCCGAAUGCCAUUCAUUUAUAUCCGGGAGUCAGACUGCGAGUGAUAAGAUCCGUAGUCGAAAGGGAAACAGCCCAGACCACCAGCUAAGGUCCCAAAAUAUAUGUUAAGUGGAAAAGGAUGUGGGGUUGCACAGACAACUAGGAUGUUGGCUUAGAAGCAGCCACCAUUUAAAGAGUGCGUAAUAGCUCACUAGUCGAGUGACCCUGCGCCGAAAAUGUACCGGGGCUAAACAUAUUACCGAAGCUGUGGACUACACCAUUAGGUGUAGUGGUAGGAGAGCGUUCUAAGGGCGUUGAAGGUCGAUCGUGAGGACGGCUGGAGCGCUUAGAAGUGAGAAUGCCGGUAUGAGUAGCGAAAGACAGGUGAGAAUCCUGUCCACCGUAUGACUAAGGUUUCCUGGGGAAGGCUCGUCCGCCCAGGGUUAGUCGGGACCUAAGCCGAGGCCGAUAGGCGUAGGCGAUGGACAACAGGUUGAUAUUCCUGUACCAGUUGUUUUUGUUUGAGCAAUGGAGGGACGCAGUAGGCUAAGGAAUGCAUGCGAUUGGAAGUGCAUGUCCAAGCAAUGAGUCUUGAGUAGAGUUAAAUGCUUUACUCUCUAAGGACAAGUUGUGACGGGGAGCGAAAUAAUAGUAGCGAAGUUCCUGAUGUCACACUGCCAAGAAAAGCUUCUAGUGAGAAAACAACUGCCCGUACCGUAAACCGACACAGGUAGUCGAGGAGAGUAUCCUAAGGUGAGCGAGCGAACUCUCGUUAAGGAACUCGGCAAAAUGACCCCGUAACUUCGGGAGAAGGGGUGCUGACUUCGGUCAGCCGCAGUGAAUAGGCCCAAGCGACUGUUUAUCAAAAACACAGGUCUCUGCAAAAUCGUAAGAUGAAGUAUAGGGGCUGACGCCUGCCCGGUGCUGGAAGGUUAAGAGGAUGGGUUAGCUUCGGCGAAGCUCAGAAUUGAAGCCCCAGUAAACGGCGGCCGUAACUAUAACGGUCCUAAGGUAGCGAAAUUCCUUGUCGGGGAAGUUCCGACCCGCACGAAAGGCGUAACGAUUUGGGCACUGUCUCAACGAGAGACUCGGUGAAAUUUUAGUACCUGUGAAGAUGCAGGUUACCCGCGACAGGACGGAAAGACCCCAUGGAGCUUUACUGUAGUUUGAUAUUGAGUGUUUGUACCACAUGUACAGGAUAGGUAGGAGCCGAUGAGACCGGAACGCUAGUUUCGGAGGAGGCGCUGGUGGGAUACUACCCUUGUGUUAUGAACCCUCUAACCCGCACCACUAAUCGUGGUGGGAGACAGUGUCAGAUGGGCAGUUUGACUGGGGCGGUCGCCUCCUAAAAGGUAACGGAGGCGCCCAAAGGUUCCCUCAGAAUGGUUGGAAAUCAUUCGAAGAGUGUAAAGGCAGAAGGGAGCUUGACUGCGAGACCUACAAGUCGAGCAGGGACGAAAGUCGGGCUUAGUGAUCCGGUGGUUCCGCAUGGAAGGGCCAUCGCUCAACGGAUAAAAGCUACCCUGGGGAUAACAGGCUUAUCUCCCCCAAGAGUCCACAUCGACGGGGAGGUUUGGCACCUCGAUGUCGGCUCGUCGCAUCCUGGGGCUGUAGUCGGUCCCAAGGGUUGGGCUGUUCGCCCAUUAAAGCGGCACGCGAGCUGGGUUCAGAACGUCGUGAGACAGUUCGGUCCCUAUCCGUCGCGGGCGUUGGAAAUUUGAGAGGAGCUGUCCUUAGUACGAGAGGACCGGGAUGGACUUACCGCUGGUGUACCAGUUGUUCUGCCAAGGGCAUUGCUGGGUAGCUAUGUAGGGAAGGGAUAAACGCUGAAAGCAUCUAAGUGUGAAGCCCACCUCAAGAUGAGAUUUCCCAUUUCUUUAAGAAAGUAAGACCCCUGAGAGAUGAUCAGGUAGAUAGGUUGGAAGUGGAAGGCUAGUGAUAGUUGGAGCGGACCAAUACUAAUCGGUCGAGGACUUAACCAA
Molecule: ribosomal RNA, 2911 nt
Filed under: Enterococcus faecalis TX1341
Lineage: Bacteria; Bacillati; Bacillota; Bacilli; Lactobacillales; Enterococcaceae
Description: bacterial LSU rRNA
Rfam family: Bacterial large subunit ribosomal RNA
Source: RNAcentral